AAACGCGACCUUAAAUAAAAUAAACAAUAAUAACGAAAGUCUAUCAUUCAUCGGAGCAAAUGAUACGUCCACUGAUUUCCUCCUUUCUUUCUCAGAUCACAGGAUUUCCUGUUAUUCCCUAAUUACUUCCCUCAGAAUCAUCAUUUUUCUUCCCUUCUUCACGAUCUGCUUCUUCCUUUCUCUCUUCUUCCUCAUUUAUGUUAGUUUUAUUAACUCGUAUUUAAACUUCGACACGUUUAUCUGCCGUUUCUUUCUGCAUCGUCUUCCUUUCGCGAGGACCAUAGUCUAUUUAUCUCAUUUAUUAACUCUUUCGAAAAAUCAAAUCUCCGGAAAACAAUAUCAAUCUUUGUGUAUUGUUGUUGUAUUCGAGCAUUAAGAAACUAAAAUUUUCAAAAUUCUCUGUACAAACAGAAACAAUCCAUCGAAAGUAAAUCGCGUACCACUGCAACCAAAAUCGCAGCUUUUUCCCUGGUUAAACACCGAAUACGUAGAUCGUUCCCACUGUUGUACGAUAAAUCGUUGGCUACCGAUCGAGAAUCUCUCCCGGUCGCCUGAUAAAUUAUAACCUGGCCGAACGAGCACCAAACAAUCGAGAUAUUUAUGCAAAACGUACGAAUACACGAAUAACGAGAAGAGCACAGUCCGGCCGAAAAUUUACCUUUCGUCCGGUCGCGCAAAUUAGCCUCAUUAUUCAAUCAGCUCAAGUUAUAUUACUCGCACGCGUAAACGUUACUACUAUCGUAGUUAUAUUCAACGCGGCGACACGGCGUCAAUUUGAAGCAGGAGAUCCCCCUUUUGGCCCCCCAUACCAUCCCUGUAGUGC
Molecule: unclassified non-coding RNA, 823 nt
Filed under: Bombus terrestris (buff-tailed bumblebee)
Lineage: Eukaryota; Metazoa; Arthropoda; Insecta; Hymenoptera; Apidae
Description: misc RNA ENSBTSG00005026876.1
Source: RNAcentral